Molecule: ribosomal RNA, 507 nt
Filed under: uncultured Gammaproteobacteria bacterium
Lineage: Bacteria; Pseudomonadati; Pseudomonadota; Gammaproteobacteria
Description: bacterial SSU rRNA
Rfam family: Bacterial small subunit ribosomal RNA
Source: RNAcentral
CAAUGAACGCUGGCGGCAGGCUACACAUGCCGCUUAAACGGUAACAGGAUGUGCUUGCACAUCGCUAACGAGUGGCGGACGGGUGAGUAAUGCUUAGUGGAUCUGCCUCUGUGUGGGGGAUAACUAUUGGAAACGAUAGCUAAUACCGCAUAAUGUUUACGGACCAAAGGGGGCGUUUGCUCCCGCGCAGAGAGGAACCUAAGUGAGAUUAGCUAGUUGGUAAGUGUAAUGGCUUACCAAUGGCGACGAUCUCUAGCUGUUCUGAGAGGAAGAUCAGCCACACUGGGACUGAAGACACGGCCAGACUCCUACGGGAGGAAGCAGUGGCGGAAUAUUGCACAAUGUGGGUGGAACCCUGAUGCAGCACAUGCCGCCAGUGUGUGAAGAAGCGCCUUCGGGUUGUAAAAGCACUAUUACAGUAUUGUGACGGAAAGGUUAGAUAUGUUCAUACCUGCUAGACUGUGACGUUAGCAAACAGAAGACAGCAACCGGGCGUUAACUCACCGG